Molecule: unclassified non-coding RNA, 284 nt
Filed under: plant metagenome
Description: partial contains small subunit ribosomal RNA, internal transcribed spacer 1, and 5.8S ribosomal RNA
Rfam family: Eukaryotic small subunit ribosomal RNA (bases 1-53)
Source: RNAcentral
GGAAGUAAAGUCGUAACAAGGUUUCCGUAGGUGAACCUGCGGAAGGAUCAUUAUUGUAUAACCGAGGUGCGAGGGCUGUCGCUGACCCGAAAGGUCGUGCACGCCCGAGUGCCCUCACACACAUCCAUCUCACCCCUAUGUGCACCACCGCGUGGGUCCCCCUUUGGCUUGUUCGGAGGGGGGCUUACGUCUUCACACAAACUUUGUAUGCAGUGUAGAAUGUAUUUUUUGUUUUUGCGAUCACGCAAUCAAUACAACUUUCAACAACGGAUCUCUUGGCUCUC